AUGGCGAGUGGCGAACGGGUGAGUAACAUAUCGGAACGUGCCUAGUAAUGGGGAACAACGAAUCGAAAGAUUAGCUAAUACCGCAUACGACCUACGGGUGAAAGCAGGGGAUCUUCGGACCUUGCGUUAUUAGAGCGGCCGAUAUCUGAUUAGCUUGUUGGUAGGGUAAAAGCCUACCAAGGCGACGAUCAGUAGCUGGUCUGAGAGGACGAUCAGCCACACUGGAACUGAGACACGGUCCAGACUCCUACGGGAGGCAGCAGUGGGGAAUUUUGGACAAUGGGGGCAACCCUGAUCCAGCCAUUCCGCGUGAGUGAAGAAGGCCUUCGGGUUGUAAAGCUCUUUCGCAAGAGAAGAAAGCUUGCUAUUUAAUAAAUAGUAAGUAUGACGGUAUCUUGACAAGAAGCACCGGCUAACUAUGUGCCAGCAGCCGCGGUAAUACAUAGGGUGCAAGCGUUAAUCGGAAUUACUGGGCGUAAAGCGUUCGCAGGCGGUUUUAUAAGUCAGAUGUGAAAUCCCCGAGCUCAACUUGGGAACUGCGUUUGAAACUGUAAGACUAGAGUGUGUCAGAGGGGGGUAGAAUUCCAUGUGUAGCAGUGAAAUGCGUAGAUAUGUGGAGGAAUACCAAUGGCGAAGGCAGCCCCCUGGGAUAACACUGACGCUCAUGAACGAAAGCGUGGGGAGCAAACAGGAUUAGAUAG
This 701-nucleotide ribosomal RNA is filed under the name uncultured bacterium. Its description in RNAcentral is "bacterial SSU rRNA". It matches the Rfam family "Bacterial small subunit ribosomal RNA", at positions 88 to 785 of the family's 1533-position model. The record is from RNAcentral.